RNAcentral lists this ribosomal RNA (551 nucleotides) under uncultured bacterium. RNAcentral's name for it is "partial 16S ribosomal RNA". It matches the Rfam family "Bacterial small subunit ribosomal RNA", at positions 355 to 899 of the family's 1533-position model. The record is from RNAcentral.
UGGGGAAUUUUGGACAAUGGGCGAAAGCCUGAUCCAGCAAUGCCGCGUGUGUGAAGAAGGCCUUCGGGUUGUAAAGCACUUUUGUCCGGAAAGAAAUCCUCUGGGUUAAUACCUCGGGGGGAUGACGGUACCGGAAGAAUAAGCACCGGCUAACUACGUGCCAGCAGCCGCGGUAAUACGUAGGGUGCAAGCGUUAAUCGGAAUUACUGGGCGUAAAGCGUGCGCAGGCGGUUUUGUAAGACGGAUGUGAAAUCCCCGGGCUUAACCUGGGAACUGCAUUCGUGACUGCAAGGCUAGAGUAUGGCAGAGGGGGGUAGAAUUCCACGUGUAGCAGUGAAAUGCGUAGAGAUGUGGAGGAAUACCGAUGGCGAAGGCAGCCCCCUGGGCCAAUACUGACGCUCAUGCACGAAAGCGUGGGGAGCAAACAGGAUUAGAUACCCUGGUAGUCCACGCCCUAAACGAUGUCAACUAGUUGUUGGGGAUUCAUUUCCUUAGUAACGUAGCUAACGCGUGAAGUUGACCGCCUGGGGAGUACGGUCGCAAGAUUAAAA